CGCUGGCGGCGUGCCUAACACAUGCAAGUCGAACGGUAGAGUUUAGAAACGAGAAUUCGGUUCAAGUUUUAAAUUCUUAGUGGCGGACGGGUGAGUAACGCGUGGACAACCUGCCUCUCACUGGGGGAUAGCAGCUGGAAACGGCUGGUAAUACCGCAUGCGUUCAAUGUGCCGCAUGACACAUUGAAGAAAGAUUUAUCGGUGAGAGAUGGGUCCGCGUCUGAUUAGCCAGUUGGCGGGGUAACGGCCCACCAAAGCGACGAUCAGUAGCCGGCCUGAGAGGGCGGACGGCCACAUUGGGACUGAGACACGGCCCAAACUCCUACGGGAGGCAGCAGUGGGGAAUAUUGCACAAUGGGGGAAACCCUGAUGCAGCGACGCCGCGUGAGUGAAGAAGUAUUUCGGUAUGUAAAGCUCUAUCAGCAGGGAAGAAAAUGACGGUACCUGACUAAGAAGCCCCGGCUAACUACGUG
RNAcentral lists this ribosomal RNA (473 nucleotides) under uncultured bacterium. Its description in RNAcentral is "bacterial SSU rRNA". It matches the Rfam family "Bacterial small subunit ribosomal RNA", at positions 34 to 507 of the family's 1533-position model. The record is from RNAcentral.